CAGCCGUAAACGAUGCGCGUUAGGUGUAUCGACGACCACGAGUCGUCGAGGUGCCGAAGGGAAACCGUGAAACGUGCCGCCUGGGAAGUACGGUCGCAAGGCUGAAACUUAAAGGAAUUGGCGGGGGAGCACCACAACAGGUGGAGCCUGCGGUUUAAUUGGACUCAACGCCGGGAAGCUCACCGGAUAGGACAGCAGAAUGAUUGCCGGGCUGAAGACUCUGCAUGACUAGCUGAGAGGAGGUGCAUGGCGUAGACGUCU
This 261-nucleotide ribosomal RNA is filed under the name uncultured archaeon. RNAcentral's name for it is "partial 16S ribosomal RNA". It matches the Rfam family "Archaeal small subunit ribosomal RNA", at positions 748 to 1009 of the family's 1478-position model. The record is from RNAcentral.